Molecule: small nuclear RNA, 116 nt
Organism: Acanthochromis polyacanthus (spiny chromis)
Lineage: Eukaryota; Metazoa; Chordata; Actinopteri; Pomacentridae
Gene: U5
Rfam family: U5 spliceosomal RNA
About the family: U5 RNA is a component of both types of known spliceosome. The precise function of this molecule is unknown, though it is known that the 5' loop is required for splice site selection and p220 binding, and that both the 3' stem-loop and the Sm site are important for Sm protein binding and cap methylation.
Source: Ensembl
CUGUUUAGGUUUCUCUUCAUAACGCACAAGUCUUUUGAAUUUUUCUUAAGACUUCCGUGAAGAGUAACUCCAACCCAUUUCGCCGAUUUUUGAAAUGCUUUGCCAUAUGUAGGGAC